Molecule: unclassified non-coding RNA, 338 nt
Filed under: soil metagenome
Description: partial contains 5.8S ribosomal RNA, internal transcribed spacer 2, and large subunit ribosomal RNA
Rfam family: 5.8S ribosomal RNA (bases 1-120)
Source: RNAcentral
GAUGAAGAACGUAGCGAAAUGCGAUAAGUAAUGUGAAUUGCAGAAUUCAGUGAAUCAUCGAAUCUUUGAACGCACAUUGCGCCCGCCAGCAUUCUGGCGGGCAUGCCUGUUCGAGCGUCAUUUCAACCCUCAAGCUCUGCUUGGUGUUGGGGCCCUACGGUUGACGUAGGCCCUUAAAGGUAGUGGCGGACCCUCUCGGAGCCUCCUUUGCGUAGUAACUAACGUCUCGCAUUGGGAUUCGGAGGGACUCUUGCCGUAAAACCCCCAAAUUUUCUAAUGGUUGACCUCGGAUCAGGUAGGAAUACCCGCUGAACUUAAGCAUAUCAAUAAGCGGAGGA